UACGGGGGGAGCAAGCGUUGUUCGGAUUUACUGGGCGUAAAGGGCGGGUAGGCGGCCACCGCAAGUCAGUUGUGAAAUCUCCGGGCUUAACCCGGAAAGGUCAACUGAUACUGCGGGGCUAGAGUGCAGAAGGGGCAACUGGAAUUCUCGGUGUAGCGGUGAAAUGCGUAGAGAUCGGAAAGAACACCAACGGCGAAAGCACUCUGCUGGGCCGACACUGACACUGAGAGACGAAAGCUAGGGGAGCGAAUGGG
RNAcentral lists this ribosomal RNA (254 nucleotides) under uncultured bacterium. RNAcentral's name for it is "partial 16S ribosomal RNA". It matches the Rfam family "Bacterial small subunit ribosomal RNA", at positions 524 to 776 of the family's 1533-position model. The record is from RNAcentral.